Talpa occidentalis (Iberian mole) is the source of this 842-nucleotide long non-coding RNA. RefSeq lists it as uncharacterized. The transcript has 4 exons. The record is from RefSeq and is a predicted model, not a curated record. Lineage: Eukaryota; Metazoa; Chordata; Mammalia; Eulipotyphla; Talpidae.
GUUGAAAAUUGUUCAGCCCCUGUGAGGUUACACAACCUAAAGGCAUGAAGAUAGUACCAUGAGAGCCAGAUGAGUCUGUGACAUCUGCGAUGUCAGCUUGGCUGCGAUGCCAUUUGACUUGUGUUUGAUAACUGCACAAGGGUUACUUUCUGCGUAGCCAAAGGGAAGAGAGUGUUCUUCAGAUGCCUCUGUUUAAGAUGCCCAGAUUCUGCGCUCCUGACUAUCCCGACGCCGUGAGCACAUGUUUACACUACCGUCAGAGGAAGUAUCUCACCGAAGGCGCAGAAAGGCGGGGGCACUUGGUUUUGUCCUUCUGAAUAUGUCACCAUCACAAUCCGGCCUGGGGAUGGCGGGACUCAACCCAGAGAUGUUUUUGUGAUCAGGAAGUCUCUUCACGGCCGGAGAUAUCCUUGGGGAGGACCCCACAGAAAAGUGUUUUCUCCUGCUGAAGAGAAAAAAUGUAAUUAGAAAAAAAAAAAAAAAAAACAUGGACAUUUCCCCUUCAUCGCUCUGCCCCAGGGAACUGUAAAUUCUGGUGUGCAUUGUUAUGCAGAAAACAUUUUGCUCUGCCUAGCUCCUACACCCAUAUUUGCACCUGUAAACUUGCAGUCCAUCAUGCACUGUCAGUUCACAGCACAGCCAGCUCACAGCUACCAGGAUGCACUUCCCCAAAUUCAUUCACUCAGUAAUUAUUCAAUGUGCCACUACCAUGUCCCAGGCGGGAUGCAGCUACAUGCAGAAGAAAGGAAGACAACAAAGGUUUCCAGGAGCUUCUAUGCCAGUCCCUCAGCCCAUCAAAAGGCAAUUUCAAAUUGUAAUAAAUAUUACAAAGAAAAUAACAA